RNAcentral lists this long non-coding RNA (269 nucleotides) under Prunus persica (peach). RNAcentral's name for it is "long non-coding RNA (PPER_LNC006924)". Lineage: Eukaryota; Viridiplantae; Streptophyta; Magnoliopsida; Rosales; Rosaceae. The record is from RNAcentral.
GAAAAAAUGGAAAGUUGGAAAUUUGGGAAAUUUGGAAAAUUGAAAAUUGGAAAUAGGAAAAAAGGAAAAAUUGGAAAGAGGAAACUAGGCAAUAGGAUUAAAUGACACUUGGAAAAUUGGAAAAUUGGAAAAAGGAAAAAAGGACACUUGGAAAAUAGGAAAUUUGGGUAAUUGGAAAAUUGGAAAAUUUGAAAUUGGACAAAAGGAAACUUGGAAAAUAGGAAAAUAGGAAAGAAAAAAAAAAGGAAACUCUGAAAACAUGAAAAUUG